This 253-nucleotide ribosomal RNA is filed under the name uncultured bacterium. Its description in RNAcentral is "partial 16S ribosomal RNA". It matches the Rfam family "Bacterial small subunit ribosomal RNA", at positions 524 to 776 of the family's 1533-position model. The record is from RNAcentral.
UACGUAGGGUGCAAGCGUUAAUCGGAAUUACUGGGCGUAAAGCGUGCGCAGGCGGUUCUAUAAGACAGAUGUGAAAUCCCCGGGCUCAACCUGGGAAUUGCAUUCGAGACUGCGUAGCUAGGGUGCGGAAGAGGGAAGCGGAAUUUCCGGUGUAGCGGUGAAAUGCGUAGAUAUCGGAAGGAACACCAGUGGCGAAAGCGGCUUCCUGGUCCAGCACCGACGUUCAGGCACGAAAGCGUGGGGAGCAAACAGG